Molecule: unclassified non-coding RNA, 1064 nt
Filed under: Hevea brasiliensis (rubber tree)
Lineage: Eukaryota; Viridiplantae; Streptophyta; Magnoliopsida; Malpighiales; Euphorbiaceae
Source: RNAcentral
GCACAUUUUCUCAUUAUCUCUAUCCUUUCCGAGUCAAUCUCUAUAUACAAUUCAAUCAGGAAGGUGUCAGGUUCUUGUUAACAGAAGGUACAGGAGCAAGAGUGGGAGAAUGGGAUCAUAAUCCAGCUCUUGUAUCUUCACGUUUUCUAUUUCUUUUCUUCUCUUCAAACAACAAAUGUUCUCGCUCAGAUGUCCCUGUGAAGGAUUUUCGCAAGAUGAGAUCUCAAACCAAGCUGUAAAUGCUAUUUAGUUACAUGAUCCAUCAGCAAUCUGUAAGCCGAGCUACCCCAUCCCAUAGUUAGUUAUGUGUCAAACGAUCAAAAUCUCUACCAUUCAGUAACCAAGACGAUCAUUCAGUGAGGUGCGUCCGUCACCUGAUUGCCCUUCAGGAGGAACCCAAGAAUUGUAAUCCUUCUCACUCUUCAGAAAUGAUGGUCUGUCUGGACCAAGAACCUUCUUUUGCUUUUUUUUCUUUUCCUUCCUCGUUUGACUUUCAUGUGAUACAUCACCUCCGCUGGAUUCCACUUCAUCAUCAGUACUAUGGUAUCUUUGAGAAUGUUUCAACAGCAGAGCUACCGCAUCUUCUGCUUGUAAAUCAGCUCCAGUGGAUUCUUGAGAAUGUUUGACUUCAGUAACAUCAGACUUCUCAACUUGCUUGCGCUUCCUUAUUAUUAGUCCAGGAGCUGCACUUUCAAUUCCAGAGUCAGCAGUCAACUGUGUAGCAUCUGGUUUUACCAAAACUUUAUUCCUGUCUUUGUAGUCAACAAAUUGAUCAUUGUCUUGCAGUUCUGUCUGUCGUUCAAUAACUUUCUCUUGUUUUUUCUUUUCAUCUACAGCACCAAGCCAUUGGGGCUUACUAGCAAUGUACACAACAUUUUUACCACCAGCUGCAUCAGCCACAAUCUCCUUCUUUGUUUCUUGACUGAAUGAAGAGUUCGCAUCAAUAGUAUCCUGUUUCUCCAUUAAAACCUUAGGUUCUGCUCUAUCUUUUUUGUUCUGCUCGGGUGGAGGCUGCUGACGGGCAGCAGUUGCAACAGUUUUGGUCAUAUUGGUCUUUGGUUCUU